This 295-nucleotide signal recognition particle RNA is filed under the name Carlito syrichta (Philippine tarsier). RNAcentral describes it as "Metazoan signal recognition particle RNA (ENSTSYG00000031491.1)". It matches the Rfam family "Metazoan signal recognition particle RNA". From Rfam's summary of the family: The signal recognition particle (SRP) is a universally conserved ribonucleoprotein. Lineage: Eukaryota; Metazoa; Chordata; Mammalia; Primates; Tarsiidae. The record is from RNAcentral.
UGGGCAUAGUGGUAUGCACCUGUAGUCUCAGCCACUCAAGAGACCAAGGUGGGAGGAUCGCUUGAGUUCAAGAGUUCUAGACUGUAGUAUGCUGUGCUGAUCAGGUGUCCACACUAAGUUCAGCAUCAUGUGGUGACAUUCCGGGAGUGCUGUGACCACCAGGUUGCCUAAAGAGGGGUAAACCGGCCCAGGUCAGAAGUGGAGCAGGUCAGAACUCCCAUACUGAUCAGUAGUGGGAUUGCAACUGAACAGCCACUGCCCUCCAACCUGAGCAACAAAGCAAGAGCCUGUCUCU